RNAcentral lists this ribosomal RNA (252 nucleotides) under uncultured bacterium. Its description in RNAcentral is "partial 16S ribosomal RNA". It matches the Rfam family "Bacterial small subunit ribosomal RNA", at positions 525 to 776 of the family's 1533-position model. The record is from RNAcentral.
ACGGAGGGUCCAAGCGUUAUCCGGAUUUAUUGGGUUUAAAGGGUUCGUAGGCGGGGUAUUAAGUCAGUGGUGAAAGCCCACAGCUCAACUGUGGAACUGCCAUUGAUACUGGUACUCUUGAGUAUAGUAGAAGUUAGCGGAAUGUGUCAUGUAGCGGUGAAAUGCUUAGAUAUGACCCAGAACACCGAUUGCGAAAGCAGCUAACUAUGUUAUUACUGACGCUGAGGAACGAAAGCGUGGGGAGCGAACAGG